GAUGAACGCUGGCGGCGUGCCUAAUACAUGCAAGUCGAGCGAACAGACGAGAGUGCUUGCACUCUCUGACGUUAGCGGCGGACGGGUGAGUAACACGUGGGUAACCUACCUAUAAGACUGGGAUAACUUCGGGAAACCGGAGCUAAUACCGGAUAAUAUUUAGCUUCGCAUGAAGCAAUAGUGAAGGACGGUUCUGCUGUCACUUAUAGAUGGACCCGCGGUGUAUUAGCUAGUUGGUGAGGUAACGGCUCACCAAGGCAACGAUACAUAGCCGACCUGAGAGGGUGAUCGGCCACACUGGGACUGAGACACGGCCCAGACUCCUACGGGAGGCAGCAGUAGGGAAUCUUCCGCAAUGGACGAAAGUCUGACGGAGCAAUGCCGCGUGAGUGAAGAAGGUUUUCGGAUCGUAAAACUCUGUUGUAAGGGAAGAACAAGUACGUUAGUAACUGAACGUACCUUGACGGUACCUUACCAGAAAGCCACGGCUAACUACGUG
RNAcentral lists this ribosomal RNA (499 nucleotides) under uncultured bacterium. Its description in RNAcentral is "partial 16S ribosomal RNA". It matches the Rfam family "Bacterial small subunit ribosomal RNA", at positions 28 to 507 of the family's 1533-position model. The record is from RNAcentral.